Molecule: long non-coding RNA, 400 nt
Filed under: Junco hyemalis (dark-eyed junco)
Lineage: Eukaryota; Metazoa; Chordata; Aves; Passeriformes; Passerellidae
Description: lncRNA (ENSJHYG00000002778.1)
Source: RNAcentral
UUCCCUCAGAGGUCAUCAAGUCUGGCACACAGAGCAGGAAUGCAAACCUCAGUAUGAAAUCUGCUUUUAGGAAAGGGUAACCUGCAGGAUAUUUUGUUUGGUCUCUGUUAACUAACUAUGUCUUAUUUGGUUUAGGUGUAUUCCAGUAUGCUAGUAACUUGAUUUGAAUGCUACUAACUAUACCAAGGGCUCUCCAUGAAACUUUAAGUAGGAGCAUACAAAGCUUCUUUCUUGUUUUGUGAGAGCAAUCCCAUACAGGAGAAAAAUGGUAUCUCACCAUAAGAGAAAAGUCCUAAACUCCUACUCAAAAAGUCCUAACUCCAGAGCUAAUACCAUUUCUUAAUGAGGCCACACAAGGUAAGGAAAUAAAAUUUGAAUCCAGUAAUUAUUUUUAAUAAUU